This is a long non-coding RNA of Oncorhynchus gorbuscha (pink salmon), 725 nucleotides long. RefSeq lists it as uncharacterized. NCBI's taxonomy places the organism in Eukaryota, Metazoa, Chordata, Actinopteri, Salmoniformes, Salmonidae. The transcript is spliced from 6 exons. The record is from RefSeq and is a predicted model, not a curated record.
UGGAGUAACAACCGAACCUAUAGUGGAGAAUUCGUACGGACUGCUCUCUGGUAUACAUUCCCCUUACUCCCUCUCCUCAAACAUUUUUUUUGAGGGGUUGAGGCCUGUAUGAGGCUUAACUGCCAUUUCUGGAGCAACCACCAGAUGGCAACAGACAAGGACUUAUUGUAGGAGAAAAGGAGUUUUGGGUUUCCCAGCAAGGGUUCCGGCUAUUGGUUCUUUACCAUGGCAGUGCCAGUACACAAUCGUUUCCAGGCUCUAGUUAACCUACAUGAUCAGGCAGGUAUGGUAAGACAGGUGAAUAAAUUGGCGGCCUUUAUUAAACCCUCCUCGCCCAACCAACAGACUCUGGCAAAGGCUAAAUCCAGUUAUGCGGCUGCAGUGACUAGCAAGUCACCGACUGGCAGGGCCUUAAUGGGAGCCAAGGCCCAUAGGGACUCUGGAAUAUGCAGGAAUACUCCAGGGGGAUCGAGUGACAACUCGGACCUGCAAAGAGUGGAGGGGCUAGCUUCAGACUUACCCCAACAAUCAAGAAGAGUAAGGAGAUAUUUAAUCCCCAAACUCAACGACCAAGAGAGAAUCUGGCCCCACCUAAAGUCCCAGCCUUGAUAAUCCCAGGUUCACAACAAGAUAACCAGCAGGGUACGGUAGCAAUGGAAAACGGAAAAGAAACGGAACCUGGGACAGAACUAAUACUGGAACCUGUAAAAAGGGAUACACUUUUU